RNAcentral lists this ribosomal RNA (253 nucleotides) under uncultured bacterium. Its description in RNAcentral is "partial 16S ribosomal RNA". It matches the Rfam family "Bacterial small subunit ribosomal RNA", at positions 524 to 776 of the family's 1533-position model. The record is from RNAcentral.
GACGAAGGUGGCGAGCGUUGUUCGGAAUCACUGGGCCUAAAGCGCACGUAGGCGGCGACGUAAGUUGGGUGUGAAAUCCCUCGGCCCAACCGAGGAACUGCGCCCAGUACUGCGUUGCUUGAGGAUCCAAGGGGUGCAUGGAAUUCCCGGUGGAGCGGUGAAAUGCGUUGAUAUCGGGAGGAACUCCGGCGGCGAAAGCGGUGCACUGGUGGAUUACUGACGCUGAGGUGCGAAAGCCAGGGGAGCAAACGGG